GCUUGGCCUCCCCGGCGGGGGCUUCUCCCCAGUGGAGGUGGCGCCCCACGGUGGACCUCUUCUGAGACCCACACCCUCCUGCCCAGGCUGCCCGUUCCCUUCGCCUCAGUCCACUUAGUAAACUGUGGUGUGGGGCAAGAUCUGGGCGCCCCAGGGACUCCGCUGCCCUCCACACGCACCCCUGCUUCCCCGGUCCCGGUCCCGGAUUAGCCCAGUCGAUAGCUGCGUACCAAGGACCCAAGCCCGCAGACCGCGCUCGGUAAUGCGAGCAGUGAGUGAUAUUUUAUUUAGGUACCGCGGGCUGUGUGUGGCAGGGACGAUUACACAAGCUACAGUCAUCGAUUUCCACUGAAGAUCCUGCUGUCUCCUCCAGCUGAAUUAUGUUGGCGGCUUUUUCUUUUCUUUUCUAACAGCCCAUCCUCAAACAGCGAGGAGGUGAAAGCCAAGUUUCCUUUCUCCAUGUAACUUCCAGCGAUUUCUCAAAAAUUGACCUUUGUUCUCUCCUGCCCAACUUUAGCCUGGCAUCUUGCCCUGCAGGAAACCCCCGGGAGACCCUUGGGUCAGAGAUCAAUCCGCUGUAUUGAUUUCCGCAAGACUUUUCAGUAAAAACCCCCCGAGCUGUUGGGUCUUGUAGUGCAACCCAAAUUGAUACCCUUCAUAAAUCUGCAUGGCUGUUCCAGAGCCAUUGCCUUCAUAUACUCACAUAACCUGUUCACGGUUGUAAAGGAAGUGCAAUUUUAAAGAAAUGAUUAUUUAUACUCUCUGGUGUCCAGUCUUGAGGGGUUCAGGAGACAUUCAGACAGCUCUCAGGAGAACAUAGACCUUGCAAAAGUACACGGAAUUCAUCAGUGACAUGGACAUACGGGUCACGUGACAUUCCAUGUGGUGUGAGCAUUUCCGAGCUUUUCAUCGAAGAGGAUGGGUAAGGUUUUCAGGUAAACGUGCAUAAAGACUUCGGAAAGGAGGUGCACAUGCGGUUUGACCAAGUUCGGUGGAGUGUCCGAGUUACCUCGUGGGUAAGCAGUGUGAGCGGAAGUCACAGCGCAAGGUGCCUGUCCCCUUCUUGUCCUUAGGAAUGGUUUUAGAGUUCUUGAUCCCCAUCAGGACCGUGAUAUUGCCUUUGGGAAACUGGUUUCUGCAGACAGGUGUUCCGAAUGAACUGUUUGGGAGGGCUCUCAGCUUGGUCUACUGUGGUUCAGCCGUGAAGCACUUCCCCAAGGAAGGGUCCCUUCCGUGGUACAGAGGAGGGGGCCAGGGAGAGGGAGGUGCAUCCUCUUCCUCCUGGCCCUCUUCCUUCCCUUUCCUCUCCUCUGCCCUCCUCCUCUUCCUCCUCUUCCUCCUCGCAGCCCCUGAAAGCACCUGCAUUGUCAGCUGUAGUCGCUUGGCCCACUGUGGAUAGCAGAAGCCUGCGGUCUUAGAAGGCCUCGCUCCUUGGAAAGAACACCUGAGUGUGUGUGACUGACAAGAAGACCUCUGGAUGUUCCUAGCUGCUCCUGCGUUUAGUCCAUCAGGCUGCACUUGUCCUGUUAUCAUGAAGGUGGCCUUGAGCUCGUGGACCCCCGAAGGGGUCACACCCCAUUUCUAGAACUACUGUUUUCUGGUCACGUUCACCAGUGUCCCUGGGUCCCACAUAUCAGGCACUGUCCACGACUGGGAAGAAGAGGAUAAAUGAGAUCCAGCCCUCUCUUGGAUACACAGACUAGAUCAGAAACAUCCUUCCUCCAUGUCUACCCCAGCUGCCGCCUGACUUUUCGAAAGGAUGCUGGCUCCUGCAGCCCUGAUGCAUCUCUGCCUUCUGAAACUGCACCUUCUGCCGGCCAGCAACUUGGACACAUGCACAGUCCCGUGUCCCAUGUAAAUUGUAAACCUUUCUUGGUCCAGCCUCUCUGCGGUUACAGCCUCUCUCUCCCGCUAUGGUGAACUUCUGGAAAGUUUGACGUGCAGUCUACAUUCCUAUCAACUUCCUCCUCCUUCACCCACCCAGCCCGCACCCUGCAAACCUCCACUCAGAGCCAGACCACCGCACAGGUGUUUCUGUCCCUCCUCUUCCAUGGCCCUUGGGCAGCUUUGCACACUGGGGACCGCGUGCCUUGGGGCUUUCUGGCAGCCCCUGCAGGAGCCUGCCUGAGACUCUUCCCUAAGUUUCCCAUGUAUUCCUGGAGUCUUUUACAAUGUGAAAGGCUACUUUUUUAUCGUGUUUAUUGAAAAGUUUCAGAAGCUUCCAGCAGCUUUAGUUCUCAGAUUGGGGUCUCUAAAUAUUACUUCCCACUAGAGAGAAGCAGGGCUGGUUGGAGAAGUCUGGUUGCACACAUGGAAGCGGAUGACCUGGAACAUGGCCUCAUGCUGGAUUGCAAGGAUGAGCACAGAGCCUUCUGAGGCCCUGGGACAAGCCGAGGCAGAACUGGGCGCAGCUUCGAGGCCACUCAAAGCAGUAACUGCUGUGGCUCAGAAACAGUUCAAUUACGUUGAAAUCUAUUUGUUCAUAAUGUUCUUUUCUAAAAUACAUCGAUUACCCUUGAAUAGUGCUAAGGAGCCCAACUUAUUGUUUUUAAAAGCUGGCAAAGAAAAGAAAUGAAGGGAUCAUUUAUUAUCUUGACUUUCUGGUACAAACUUUCCCCAAACUAUAAGCAGAUAACCAAUGAUGGCAAGUUUCUCUCCCUAGAUGUAAGGCAGCUAAAUAGGUGAAGCAGGGGUGUUAGGGUUAGAAUAGCACAGUUUUGCCAGCUCUUGUGAUUCAGUGGAUUUUGGCAAUGAAUGUACAUGGUAAAGAGAGAGAGGGAGAGAAAGAGGAAGGGGGAGAGGAAGAGAGAGAGAGAGAGAGAGAAACAAACCCACCCCAGAUGGAAGCCCACCAUGCUGCCUGUAGCGUCUCCUUCCCCAAUCAAACCUGACUCUGGCCAAGCCUGCACAUCACAGGAUAAUCCUGGGGCCCAAAUCUGGCCUAUAUUUGAACAAAUGCAAGUUCUGUGGACCGACAGCCACAUUCAUCUGCUCAAGGAGCUGUAACAGAGGCCGUGUCCACAGGCUUGGAACUUACCGUCCAGUCCCCUUUGGUGACAGAUGGCGUGGGCCCCGUCAGCCCAUCACAGGGCCUGGACCUUACUCGGAUUCUGAUGGGAAUGAAAGGACAAAGUCGCUUAGGAGACGAUUAGAGGAACAUAAACACUGAUGAGUGACCUCAUGGGAUGAUGGCUGAUGUUUUUAGUGUGUUGUCCUGUGUGUGCGUGUGUGUGUGUUCUCUUCGGUGGAGACGUGGGCUGCCACUCCAGGAGGCAGUGAGAUUUGUUAAAAGACAACAAGUUGGCAAGGAAUGUCCCGGGCAGUGUCCUCAGUGAACUGUUACCACCCUACUGGUCAUGCUGGCCAAUCCUGUUACCAUUCCUGCUU
Fukomys damarensis (Damara mole-rat) is the source of this 3387-nucleotide long non-coding RNA. RefSeq lists it as uncharacterized. The record is from RefSeq and is a predicted model, not a curated record. NCBI's taxonomy places the organism in Eukaryota, Metazoa, Chordata, Mammalia, Rodentia, Bathyergidae. The transcript is spliced from 3 exons.